GACAAAUAACUUCUUUUACUCCUGGAGAGAAAAGGAAGGUGGGAUGAAGGAAAAGGAAAAAAAGUUUAAAUUCUUCAAAGCAAAUUACUAGAUCUUCCUGGUACAACAAAAAGCAGGAUACAUAGAAGAGAUGUUAUAGAUAAAGAAUGUAGAAAAGUUUCUAUCAACUUAAAGUUUUGCAUGCGGUAUUUGAGAAUCCACCUUUGCUCAAUGUGCUAGGAGAAGGACAACAUGGAUCCAUGGGAUGCCUUUCAAAUAAAUGUUUGCUGGAUUAAGUUCACCCAACUCACGUUUUUGACAUCUCACAGGUUGGCUGAGUCAACUACCAAAGGAUGAGGACUAAUGAAGAUAAUUCAAAACUGUAAUUUCAGGAACUAGAACAAAAAAGGAGACAUGAAAAAGAAAACAUGCAAAAGAAAAUAUCUUUCUGAACUGUUAUCAGUGGUAAUGAAAACUAUAGGCACCAUUAGAGAGAUGUAUACUAAAGAACACUACUAAAAGCAGUACUUUUCACUUAGGGUAAAGAUUGUUUACUUUGAAUCAAGGAGAGGAGAUAUCUACUAAACUACUGCCUACGUAUUCCAGAAUAAAAAAAAAAAAAAAAGAGCA
This 609-nucleotide long non-coding RNA is filed under the name Numida meleagris (helmeted guineafowl). Its description in RNAcentral is "lncRNA (ENSNMEG00000005646.1)". The record is from RNAcentral. Lineage: Eukaryota; Metazoa; Chordata; Aves; Galliformes; Numididae.